UCUCGUAUCGAUGAAGAACGCAGCGAAACGCGAUAUUUCUUGUGAAUUGCAGAAGUGAAUCAUCAGUUUUUGAACGCACAUUGCACUUUG
This 90-nucleotide ribosomal RNA is filed under the name Geotrichum candidum. RNAcentral's name for it is "partial 5.8S ribosomal RNA". It matches the Rfam family "5.8S ribosomal RNA", at positions 26 to 120 of the family's 154-position model. From Rfam's summary of the family: 5.8S ribosomal RNA (5.8S rRNA) is a component of the large subunit of the eukaryotic ribosome. It is transcribed by RNA polymerase I as part of the 45S precursor that also contains 18S and 28S rRNA. Lineage: Eukaryota; Fungi; Ascomycota; Dipodascomycetes; Dipodascales; Dipodascaceae. The record is from RNAcentral.